RNAcentral lists this ribosomal RNA (466 nucleotides) under uncultured bacterium. Its description in RNAcentral is "partial 16S ribosomal RNA". It matches the Rfam family "Bacterial small subunit ribosomal RNA", at positions 28 to 507 of the family's 1533-position model. The record is from RNAcentral.
GAUGAACGCUGGCGGCGUGCUUAACACAUGCAAGUCGAACGAUGAAGCCCAGCUUGCUGGGUGGAUUAGUGGCGAACGGGUGAGUAACACGUGAGUAACCUGCCCUUAACUCUGGGAUAAGCCUGGGAAACUGGGUCUAAUACCGGAUAGGAGCGCCUACCGCAUGGUGGGUGUUGGAAAGAUUUAUCGGUUUUGGAUGGACUCGCGGCCUAUCAGCUUGUUGGUGAGGUAAUGGCUCACCAAGGCGACGACGGGUAGCCGGCCUGAGAGGGUGACCGGCCACACUGGGACUGAGACAAGGCCCAGACUCCUACGGGAGGCAGCAGUGGGGAAUAUUGCACAAUGGGCGAAAGCCUGAUGCAGCGACGCCGCGUGAGGGAUGACGGCCUUCGGGUUGUAAACCUCUUUCAGUAGGGAAGAAGCGAAAGUGACGGUACCUGCAGAAGAAGCACCGGCUAACUACGUG